This 1473-nucleotide ribosomal RNA is filed under the name Methanobacteriota archaeon. Its description in RNAcentral is "bacterial SSU rRNA". It matches the Rfam family "Archaeal small subunit ribosomal RNA". Lineage: Archaea; Methanobacteriati; Methanobacteriota. The record is from RNAcentral.
AGGAAAUCCGGUUGAUCCUGCCGGAGGCGACCGCUAUUGGAAUUCGAUUAAGCCAUGCGAGUCGAGAGUCCUCGGGACUCGGCAUACUGCUCAGUAACACGUGGAUAACCUGCCCUGUUCUAGGGGAUAACCUCGAGAAAUUGAGAAUAAUACCCUAUAGUCCACUACGCCUGGAACGGUGAGUGGAUAAAAGCUCCGGCGGAACAGGAUGGGUCUGCGGCAUAUCAGGUAGUAGUGGGUGUAAUGGACCCACUAGCCUUCGACGUGUACGGGUGUUGGGAGACAUAGCCCGGAGAUGGAUUCUGAGACACGAAUCCAGACCCUACGGGGUGCAGCAGGCGCGAAAACUUCACACUGCGGGAAACCGCGAUGAGGGAAUUCCAAGUGUCUGGGGUAAGACCCAGUCUUUUCUUGACUCUUAAUAGGUCUUGGAAUAAGGGGGGGGUAAGACCGGUGCCAGCCGCCGCGGUAAUACCGGCCCCCCAAGUGGUCGUCACUUUUAUUGGGCCUAAAACGUCCGUAGCCGGUUUAGUAAACCCGUGGGUAAAUCAACCAGCUUAACUGGUUGAAUUCUGCGGAGACUGCUAGACUAGGGACCGGGAGAGGUACGAGGUACUCUUGGGGUAGGGGUAAAAUCCUGUCAUCCCAGGGGGACCACUUGUUGCGAAGGCGUCGUACUAGAACGGAUCCGACGGUCAGGGACGAAGCCUAGGGGCACGAACCGGAUUAGAUACCCGGGUAGUCCUAGGUGNAAACGCUGUGGACUUGGUGUUGGGGAUUCCAUGAGGGUUUCCAGUGCCGAAGCGAAGGUGUUAAGUCCACUGCCUGGGGAGUACGGUCGCAAGGCUGAAACUUAAAGGAAUUGGCGGGGGAGCACUGCAACGAGAGGAGCGUGCGGUUUAAUUGGAUUCAACGCCGGAAAACUCACCAGGGCCGACGGACAAAUGAAGGUCAAGUUGACGACUUUACCGGAUUGUUCGAGAGGUGGUGCAUGGCCGUCGUCAGUUCGUACCGUAAGGCGUUCUGUUAAGUCAGAUAACGAACGAGACCCCCAUCCCUAUUUGCUAGUCUAAUCGCAAGAUUGGGCGCACUAUAGGGAGACCGCUGGUGUGAAACCAGAGGAAGGUGGGGGCAACGGUAGGUCAGUAUGCCCCGAAUGUCCUGGGCUACACGCGCGCUACAAAGGACGGGACAAUGGGACGCAACAUCGAGAGAUGAAGCUAUCCUGAAACCCGUUCGUAGUACGGAUUGAGGGCUGUAACUCGCCCUCAUGAAGCUGGAUUUCGUAGUAAUCGCGUCUCAAAAUGGCGCGGUGAAUAUGCCCCUGCUCCUUGCACACACCGCCCGUCAAACCAUCUUAGUUUGGGGUGGGUGAGGCUGCCUUUACAUGGGGUAUUCGAGCCUGCCUUAGACAAGGAGGGUUAAGUCGUAACAAGGUAUCUGUAGGGGAACCUGCAGAUGGAUCACCUCCUU